GGGGUGUCGUUUUUGUUGUUGUUGAAUUGCAGACUGCCCCGUUAAGAGAACGAAGUUGGUUGGCCAGGAGGGGUCCGCCAGUCACCAGGGCAUUUCAGCAGUCGAUGUGACCAAGCCCCUUUAAAACAUUACGCAUAUCGGGGGCUGGUUUAUCUAGGGCUGUCGUGAGGUAAUCUAUCCAUUCUCGCCGGGCAGGCCGACAUGUGGUAAUCGUAGAAAGCGCACACUGCAAUAUGAGAAAAAAGCAAUAACAAUAAGAGCGCGCACGAGUUGCUUUUAAGCCGGGAAAUGUACAUGGAACAUUGCAGAUUUUACUAAAGCUAAAGAUUGUUUGAUCUCGUGAAACAACCUUAAACCAGCAGAAAACUAAUACUAACCAAACGCAAGUUUGAACGACAAUGGAAUUUGGGUUCUUCUGACCCCUGGGAACCGUUGUGAUUUGCCUGGAUUUAAAAGCACAAGUUGCUGACAAAUUGGAUAAACUUGCCCCCCAAUUCGGCCAGCCGACGGUACUGAACUCACUUUCCUUGUAUCCAGAACGAAACGGCGGGUCGUGGAAUUUAACCUGAUUUAUAAGAAUUGAAGGGCUGCAUCUCAAUAGUUUAAAGUGGCUUCAUCUCCUCGCCCCCUUUCCUUCAUCUGCACUGAUGUGAACGAGCUGAACAGGUGAACACUAUAUCCCAGAUACUGCUGCCCAGUGACUAGGUGUGUGCUGUCACAGAUACAGUGCCUUCAUAAAGUAUUCACACCACUUGACUUUUUCCACAUUUUGUUGUGUUACAGCCUGAAUUUAAAAUGUUUUAAAUUAUACUUUUUUUCCGUCACUGGCCUAUACACAAAAAAUACCCCAUAAUGUCAAAGUGGAUUUAUGUUUAAAAAUGUGUUUUUACAAAUUUACUAAAAAUGAAAACCUGAAAUGUCUUGAGUCUAAUUAUUCAACCCUUCUGUUAUAGC
Molecule: long non-coding RNA, 954 nt
Filed under: Oncorhynchus kisutch (coho salmon)
Lineage: Eukaryota; Metazoa; Chordata; Actinopteri; Salmoniformes; Salmonidae
Description: lncRNA (ENSOKIG00005001191.1)
Source: RNAcentral